Molecule: long non-coding RNA, 211 nt
Filed under: Elaeis guineensis (African oil palm)
Lineage: Eukaryota; Viridiplantae; Streptophyta; Magnoliopsida; Arecales; Arecaceae
Description: long non-coding RNA (EGUI_LNC012694)
Source: RNAcentral
GCACGGUAGUGCAGGGAUCCCAAAAAGUUGGUCAGAGAUCUUGAUGUACCUUAAAAGAUGGAUGACAAUGGUCGAAUCUUUCUUCGAUGUUAAGGUCAAUCCUAAAAUACCAUAAAUAAAGGAAGUAUACUUUCUAAAGAGUGUCUGAGGGAACUCUUCAAUGUCUAAGUCAGAUAAUAGAAAAUAGAAGAGAUUCUAAGUGAGAGGUAGA